CUACGGGGGGCACCAGGCGCGAAACCUCUACAAUGCACGAAAGUGUGAUAGGGGGACUCCAAGUGCUUUGCUUUUUGCAAAGCUUUUGCUAAGAUUAAAAACCUUGGCGAAUAAGUGGUGGGUAAGACUGGUGCCAGCCGCCGCGGUAACACCAGCGCCACAAGUGGCAAUCAUAUUUAUUGGGCCUAAAGCGUCCGUAGCCUGUUUGACAAAUCUUCUGUGAAAUUGUUAGGCCUAACCUAACAACGUGCAGGAAACACUAUCAAACUAGGAACCGGGAGGGGUUAGAAGUAUUUUUGGGGUAGCGGUAAAAUGUUAGAAUCCUAAAAGGACUACCUGUGGCGAAGGCGUCUAACCAGAACGGAUUCGACGGUGAGGGACGAAAGCUAAGGGAGCAAAACGGAUUAGAUACCCCCGUAGUC
RNAcentral lists this ribosomal RNA (422 nucleotides) under uncultured archaeon. RNAcentral's name for it is "partial 16S ribosomal RNA". It matches the Rfam family "Archaeal small subunit ribosomal RNA", at positions 323 to 746 of the family's 1478-position model. The record is from RNAcentral.